UACAGAGGGGGCAAGCGUUGUUCGGAAUUACUGGGCGUAAAGGGCGCGUAGGCGGCCAACUAAGUCAGACGUGAAAUCCCCUGGCUCAACCAGGGAACUGCGUCUGAUACUGGAUGGCUUGAAUCCGGGAGAGGGAUGUGGAAUUCCAGGUGUAGCGGUGAAAUGCGUAGAUAUCUGGAGGAACACCGGUGGCGAAGGCGGCAUCCUGGACCGGUAUUGACGCUGAGGCGCGAAAGCCAGGGGAGCAAACGGG
RNAcentral lists this ribosomal RNA (253 nucleotides) under uncultured bacterium. RNAcentral's name for it is "partial 16S ribosomal RNA". It matches the Rfam family "Bacterial small subunit ribosomal RNA", at positions 524 to 776 of the family's 1533-position model. The record is from RNAcentral.